UCAUAAGAGAUUUUAUUUAGGUCAUACCUGAAUGAAUGAUCUAGUGGUUUCCCUUACAUUCUUCAAUUUAAGUGUGAAUUUGGAAAUAAGGAGUUCGUGAUCUGAGUCACAGUCAGCUCUCAGUCUUUUUUUUUUGCUGACUGUAUAGAGCUUCUCCAUCUUUGGCUGCAAAGAAUAUAAUCA
Cervus elaphus (red deer) is the source of this 183-nucleotide long non-coding RNA. RefSeq lists it as uncharacterized. NCBI's taxonomy places the organism in Eukaryota, Metazoa, Chordata, Mammalia, Artiodactyla, Cervidae. The transcript has 3 exons. The record is from RefSeq and is a predicted model, not a curated record.